GAGGGUGUAGCUAGGCGAUAGAGCGCGUGCUUAGCAUGCACAAGGUCCUGGGUUCAAUCCCCAGGACCUCCA
This 72-nucleotide transfer RNA is filed under the name Camelus bactrianus (Bactrian camel). It matches the Rfam family "tRNA". From Rfam's summary of the family: Transfer RNA (tRNA) molecules are approximately 80 nucleotides in length. Their secondary structure includes four short double-helical elements and three loops (D, anti-codon, and T loops). RNAcentral also lists the same sequence under 2 other names. The record is from Rfam by way of RNAcentral. Lineage: Eukaryota; Metazoa; Chordata; Mammalia; Artiodactyla; Camelidae.